Molecule: ribosomal RNA, 1004 nt
Filed under: Limnogromia sp.
Lineage: Eukaryota; Foraminifera
Description: SSU rRNA
Rfam family: Eukaryotic small subunit ribosomal RNA
Source: RNAcentral
AAGGGCACCACAAGAACGCGUGGAGCAUGUGGCUUAAUUUGACUCAACGCGGGGAACUUACCGGGUCCGGACACACUGAGGAUUGACAGGUGCUCGGUAAAGGGAAAAAAAUUCUCCCUUUGGGAUUUUUUUUUUCCCUUUGCCUAAAUAUGAUAGUCCUUUCAUGAUUGUGUGAUAGGUGGUGCAUGGCCGUUCUUAGUUCGUGGAGUGAUCUGUCUGCUUAAUUGCGUUUCAGAAUAAUAGGUUCUUAGCGGCAUUGUUUUUACGUAGCGUGGCCACUCUUAUGCUUUUCGAAGUAUAAGGUGCCCUGCUUUGUUAACAGCCUUUGCAACCUCGAAGGAAACGAACGUGAUCGCAUCCUCUUGUUGCCUCUCUUCUACCAUUUAAACCACGGUAGACUGUUGCCUCGUGGUUACAUUCCUAUUUAAAAGGAAGCCAUGGGAAUAACAGAGCGGAGUGCCUAACUAGAGGGACCGCCGACCUUUUUAAAACGGAGGAAGGUUGCGGCAAUAACAGGUCUGUGAUGCCCUUAGAUGUUCCGGGCUGCACACGUGCUACAAUGAUCGUUGCAGUGAGCAUCUUUAAACGCUCGUAUAAGAGAAAUAAGGCAGAGGCUUGCCUUUGCUUUACGUAUCUUAUACGACACACCUACUUCGAAAGUAAGUAGGUAACCAAUUCGAAGUAACGAUUUCUCUCGCACACAAAACCUCGUAGCGCCUUAGCUAUCUUUGCUCGCUUCGGUUAGUGGAGUUUAGCUAAGGAUUGCUUACGAUGUGCUCUUAUUUUUUUCAUGGUGGGGACAGACCAUUGCAAUUGUUGGUCUCGGUCUUAACUAGGAAUGCCUUGUACGGGUCAUGGUUCAACAGACCACCCGGAAUAUGUCCCUGCCCUUUGUACACACCGCCCGUCGCUCUUACCGAUGGACUUCUCUGUGAGUAUAAGGGACUGGUAUUUUUAUACUAUGGAAACUUACACGAACAGUGUGGUCUAAAGGAAAGAGAAGU